This 500-nucleotide ribosomal RNA is filed under the name uncultured Eubacteriales bacterium. RNAcentral describes it as "uncultured Clostridiales bacterium partial 16S ribosomal RNA". The record is from RNAcentral. Lineage: Bacteria; Bacillati; Bacillota; Clostridia; Eubacteriales.
CACGUAGUUAGCCGGGGCUUCUUGGUCAGGUACCGUCAUCUUCUUCCCUGCCGAUAGGGCUUUACGCGCCGAAACGCUCCUUCACCCACGCGGCGUCGCUGCAUCAGGGUUCCCCCCAUUGUGCAAUAUCCCCCACUGCUGCCUCCCGUAGGAGUCUGGGCCGUGUCUCAGUCCCAGUGUGGCCGUCCACCCUCUCAGGCCGGCUACUGAUCGUCGCCUUGGUAGGCCGUUACCCUGCCAACCAGCUAAUCAGACGCGGGCCCAUCCUGUACCACCGGGGUUUUCCGCGCCAUGCCAUGCGGCACGCCGCGCUUAUGCGGUAUUAGCACCUGUUUCCAGGUGUUAUCCCCCAGUACAGGGCAGGUUGCCCACGCGUUACUCACCCGUCCGCCACUCGCGCGGCGCCGCAGGGGCCGAGGCCCCUGCCGCACGCCGCGCCCGUUCGACUUGCAUGUGUUAGGCACGCCGCCAGCGUUCAUCCUGAGCCAGGAUCAAACUCU